RNAcentral lists this ribosomal RNA (432 nucleotides) under uncultured bacterium. Its description in RNAcentral is "partial 16S ribosomal RNA". It matches the Rfam family "Bacterial small subunit ribosomal RNA", at positions 29 to 507 of the family's 1533-position model. The record is from RNAcentral.
ACGCACGCUGGCGGCAUGCCUAACACAUGCCAGUCGCACGAGACCUUCGGGUCUAGUGGCGCACGGGUGCGUAACGCGUGGGAACCUGCCCUUAGGUUCGGAAUAACUCCCCGAAAGGGGUGCUAAUACCGGAUAAUGUCUUCGGACCAAAGAUUUAUCGCCUUUGGAUGGGCCCGCGUUGGAUUAGCUAGUUGGUAGGGUAAAAGCCUACCAAGGCGACGAUCCAUAGCUGGUCUGAGAGGAUGAUCAGCCACACUGGGACUGAGACACGGCCCAGACUCCUACGGGAGGCAGCAGUGGGGAAUAUUGGACAAUGGGCGAAAGCCUGAUCCAGCAAUGCCGCGUGAGUGAUGAAGGCCUUAGGGUUGUAAAGCUCUUUUACCCGGGAUGAUAAUGACAGUACCGGGAGAAUAAGCGCCGGCUAACUCCGUG